RNAcentral lists this ribosomal RNA (439 nucleotides) under uncultured bacterium. RNAcentral's name for it is "partial 16S ribosomal RNA". It matches the Rfam family "Bacterial small subunit ribosomal RNA", at positions 338 to 795 of the family's 1533-position model. The record is from RNAcentral.
CCUACGGGAUGCAGCAGUGGGGAAUAUUGCACAAUGGGGGAAACCCUGAUGCAGCGACGUCGCGUGAGUGAUGAAGUAUUUCGGUAUGUAAAGCUCUAUCAGCAGGGAAGAAAAUGACGGUACCUGACUAAGAAGCCCCGGCUAACUACGUGCCAGCAGCCGCGGUAAUACGUAGGUGCAAGCGUUAUCCGGAUUUACUGGGUGUAAAGGGAGCGUAGACGGCGGUGCAAGCCAGAUGUGAAAGCCCGGGGCUCAACCCCGGGACUGCCUUUGGAACUGUGCUGCUAGAGUGUCGGAGAGGCAGGCGGAAUUCCUAGUGUAGCGGUGAAAUGCGGAGAUAUUAGGAGGAACACCAGUGGCGAAGGCGGCCUGCUGGACGAUGACUGACGUUGAGGCUCGAAAGCGUGGGGAGCAAACAGGAUUAGAUACCCGGGUAGUC